Triticum aestivum (bread wheat) is the source of this 167-nucleotide non-coding RNA. The record is from Rfam. Lineage: Eukaryota; Viridiplantae; Streptophyta; Magnoliopsida; Poales; Poaceae.
GCCAGGAAGAGGAAGAGAUAGUCUCUAAGAGCAAUGGGAGUAGGAUCGUGGAGGAAAGUCUAGAGCUCGAUUUCUCCUCUAGUAUCAGAGGUAGAGAUUUUCUUUGUGCUUUCCCCAUGCCUCCUAUUCCUAUCGAUCUUAGGUACUCCUUCCUCUUUCUUCAGGAA